RNAcentral lists this ribosomal RNA (440 nucleotides) under uncultured bacterium. RNAcentral's name for it is "partial 16S ribosomal RNA". It matches the Rfam family "Bacterial small subunit ribosomal RNA", at positions 338 to 795 of the family's 1533-position model. The record is from RNAcentral.
CCUACGGGUGGCAGCAGUGGGGAAUAUUGCACAAUGGAGGAAACCCUGAUGCAGCGACGCCGCGUGAGUGAAGAAGUAUUUCGGUAUGUAAAGCUCUAUCAGCAGGGAAGAAAAUGACGGUACCUGACUAAGAAGCCCCGGCUAACUACGUGCCAGCAGCCGCGGGAAUACGUAGGGGGCAAGCGGUAUCCGGAUUUACUGGGUGGAAAGGGGGCGUAGACCGCAGGGCAAGUCUGAAGUGAAAUCCCAUGGCUUAACCAUGGAACUGCUUUGGAAACUGUGCAGCUUGAGUGCAGGAGAGGAAAGCGGAAUUCCUAGUGUAGCGGUGAAAUGCGUAGAUAUUAGGAGGAACACCAGUGGCGAAGGCGACUUACUGGACUGUAACUGACGUUGAGGCUCGAAAGCGUGGGGAGCAAACAGGAUUAGAUACCCGGGUAGUC